Long non-coding RNA from Saccostrea cuccullata (small rock oyster), 2672 nucleotides. RefSeq lists it as uncharacterized. The record is from RefSeq and is a predicted model, not a curated record. NCBI's taxonomy places the organism in Eukaryota, Metazoa, Mollusca, Bivalvia, Ostreida, Ostreidae. The transcript has 11 exons.
GACAUUUUGGACACCCAAAGUUGUGCGGAGGAGAAAAUGCUAGCUGGCGCGUGAUUGGUCAAUAAGAGAAAAGACUUGUUAUGUAUUUGACAAGUGAAAUAAAGUUGAUAAAAAUCUCAUAUCAAGACUUGGGUUUCUUUGAGGUAUAUAGGAGUUACAGGUAAAAAUUUGAAGGGAGGGAUGCACUUUGGUUAGAGAUUUUCAUUUGGUGUCAAACGCACCUAGUUGUAAACAAAUGGAAAUUGAAAGUAAAAGUGCAACGGCACGGUAUAUUUUUUCUGGCAUUUUUUGUUUUCCAAUAUCUCGAACUUUCACGACAAAAAGGUCAUUUGCCCGAAAUUCAAUACAUGUAUCAGUGAGAGGGGCUAAAGUUUGUAUGGAAGUCUAUGGGAAAACAUUUGGUGGUGUUUGUCCUAUAGAAUAGCAAUGCAUUAUCAAGAAGGAAGAGAUUAAUGAACCCUACCCUCUUACAAUGAACAACACAUGGACACUCUCGGGAUGAUCCGUUUGCUUUCAUUAAGAGUUCCAAGAUGUUGGUCUGAUUGACUGGGGUGUGAAAUGUAACAGCCAAUGGUGUACUUAAGCUAAGACUGUCAGUCCCAAUAUUCAAGAGCAAUGCAUUAUCAAGAAGGAAGAGAUUAAUGAACCCUACCCUCUUACAAUGAACAACACAUGGACACUCUCGGGAUGAUCCCUUUGCUUUCAUUAAGAGUUCCAAGAUGUUGGUCUGAUUGACUGGGGUGUGAAAUGUAACAGCCAAUGGUGUACUUAAGCUAAGACUGUCAGUCCCAAUAUUCAAGAGGUGAGAUAAGCAAUGGAUAUGUGUUCUAAAUUUACUAAAUUGACCACUUUUUAUAAAUGUUUCUUUUACUCUAUAGGAAAAACCCCUACAUAAACAAAUACAUGGGCGCAGACAUUUUGGACACCCAAAGUUGUGCGGAGGAGAAAAUGCUAGCUGGCGCGUGAUUGGUCAAUAAGAGAAAAGACUUGUUAUGUAUUUGACAAGUGAAAUAAAGUUGAUAAAAAUCUCAUAUCAAGACUUGGGAUUCUUUGAGGUAUAUAGGAGUUACAGGUAAAAAUUUGAAGGGAGGAAUGCACUUUGGUUAGAGAUUUUCAUUUGGUGUCAAACGCACCUAGUUGUAAACAAAUGGAAAUUGAAAGUAAAAGUGCAACGGCACGGUAUAUUUUUUCUGGCAUUUUUUGUUUUCCAAUAUCUCGAACUUUCACGACAAAAAGGUCAUUUGCCCGAAAUUCAAUACAUGUAUCAGUGAGAGGGGCUAAAGUUUGUAUGGAAGUCUAUGGGAAAACAUUUGGUGGUGUUUGUCCUAUAGAAUAGCAAUGCAUUAUCAAGAAGGAAGAGAUUAAUGAACCCUACCCUCUUACAAUGAACAACACAUGGACACUCUCGGGAUGAUCCCUUUGCUUUCAUUAAGAGUUCCAAGAUGUUGGUCUGAUUGACUGGGGUGUGAAAUGUAACAGCCAAUGGUGUACUUAAGCUAAGACUGUCAGUCCCAAUAUUCAAGAGGUGAGAUAAGCAAUGGAUAUGUGUUCUAAAUUUACUAAAUUGACCACUUUUUAUAAAUGUUUCUUUUACUCUAUAGGAAAAACCCCUACAUAAACAAAUACAUGGGCGCAGACAUUUUGGACACCCAAAGUUGUGCGGAGGAGAAAAUGCUAGCUGGCGCGUGAUUGGUCAAUAAGAGAAAAGACUUGUUAUGUAUUUGACAAGUGAAAUAAAGUUGAUAAAAAUCUCAUAUCAAGACUUGGGUUUCUUUGAGGUAUAUAGGAGUUACAGCAAUGCAUUAUCAAGAAGGAAGAGAUUAAUGAACCCUACCCUCUUACAAUGAACAACACAUGGACACUCUCGGGAUGAUCCCUUUGCUUUCAUUAAGAGUUCCAAGAUAUUGGUCUGAUUGACUGGGGUGUGAAAUGUAACAGCCAAUGGUGUACUUAAGCUAAGACUGUCAGUCCCAAUAUUCAAGAGGUGAGAUAAGCAAUGGAUAUGUGUUCUAAAUUUACUAAAUUGACCACUUUUUAUAAAUGUUUCUUUUACUCUAUAGGAAAAACCCCUACAUAAACAAAUACAUGGGCGCAGACAUUUUGGACACCCAAAGUUGUGCGGAGGAGAAAAUGCUAGCUGGCGCGUGAUUGGUCAAUAAGAGAAAAGACUUGUUAUGUAUUUGACAAGUGAAAUAAAGUUGAUAAAAAUCUCAUAUCAAGACUUGGGUUUCUUUGAGGUAUAUAGGAGUUACAGCAAUGCAUUAUCAAGAAGGAAGAGAUUAAUGAACCCUACCCUCUUACAAUGAACAACACAUGGACACUCUCGGGAUGAUCCCUUUGCUUUCAUUAAGAGUUCCAAGAUGUUGGUCUGAUUGACUGGGGUGUGAAAUGUAACAGCCAAUGGUGUACUUAAGCUAAGACUGUCAGUCCCAAUAUUCAAGAGGUGAGAUAAGCAAUGGAUAUGUGUUCUAAAUUUACUAAAUUGACCACUUUUUAUAAAUGUUUCUUUUACUCUAUAGGAAAAACCCCUACAUAAACAAAUACAUGGGCGCAGACAUUUUGGACACCCAAAGUUGUGCGGAGGAGAAAAUGCUAGCUGGCGCGUGAUUGGUCAAUAAGAGAAAAGACUUGUUAUGUAUUUGACAAGUGAAAUAAAGUUGAUAAAAAUCUCA